GACGAACGCUGGCGGCGUGCUUAACACAUGCAAGUCGAGCGGUAAGGCCCUUUCGGGGUACACGAGCGGCGAACGGGUGAGUAACACGUGGGUGACCUGCCCUCAGCUCUGGGAUAAGCCUGGGAAACCGGGUCUAAUACUGGAUAUGACUCCAUGACGCAUGUUGGUGGGGUGGAAAGCCUUGUGCGGCUGAGGAUGGGCCCGCGGCCUAUCAGCUUGUU
This 221-nucleotide ribosomal RNA is filed under the name uncultured bacterium. Its description in RNAcentral is "partial 16S ribosomal RNA". It matches the Rfam family "Bacterial small subunit ribosomal RNA", at positions 28 to 250 of the family's 1533-position model. The record is from RNAcentral.